Gymnodraco acuticeps is the source of this 796-nucleotide long non-coding RNA. RefSeq lists it as uncharacterized. NCBI's taxonomy places the organism in Eukaryota, Metazoa, Chordata, Actinopteri, Perciformes, Bathydraconidae. The transcript has 3 exons. The record is from RefSeq and is a predicted model, not a curated record.
ACCAUGUGAUCACCUAGUUGGUCUGUUUGUCCGCGUUAUUACAUUUGAAGACGAUUAUACAUCAUCAUUAUCAUGGAAGGGAACGACCGAAGACACCAUACCAUUCUUACUGAGGGAGAAGAACCUGUGCCCCUACAGUCCGCCGGUUCACCUUUUUAUCAGUGCCCAUUCUGCUCUUAUAAGACUGCAGAAAGGCAUUUGGUGAUUAACCACAUACAAAAUCAUGCAACGGUGAAACAUAAAGAGAAGCAGCUCUCCAUAACCUUGGUGAAGCCAGCAACCUGCAGGACGAAGACAGCUGGGAAGACAGGAUGGACCCAUUUAUGUUCAGGUUCAAAUUUGAUUCUGACUAUUUAAUGUUUUUUGAGCAGUGCAUUGACAAAGAAAACCUUAAGGUUCAUGCCUGUUUUGAAGAGCGCGGUUGAAUGUUUGCAUCAGCAAAGCCUUUCACUGUUGUAUAGAUUUUUUUUUUGUAUACUUGGUUUGGUUUUUAUAUUUACUGUAUUUGCUUUUUCGGUUCAGUUAUCUUAAUGAUUGUUCUGUUAUAUGAUAAAUGUUGUAAAUAAUAAAUGCUUUUUCUAUCAUUCUAUGAAAUGCAGUGCAAUGUAUCAUUUGAAAUAUAUGGACUAGAUAUGAGUAUGCACAGAACUAACUAAAUGAAUAAUCAAUUAAAACAAAUAUUAAAUAAUAUACUUAAAUACACUAAUAUAUCAAUUAAAACAAAUAUUAAAUAAUGAACUUAAAUACACUAAUAGAAAAUAUGACUUUUUAUACCACAUAUUUAAAUACAUUCAUG